AGAGUUUGAUCCUGGCUCAGAUUGAACGCUGGCGGCAUGCCACACACAUGCAAGUCGAACGGCAGCACGGGAGCAAUCCUGGUGGCGAGUGGCGAACGGGUGAGUAAUAUAUCGGAACGUGCCCAGUCGUGGGGGAUAACGCAGCGAAAGCUGUGCUAAUACCGCAUACGAUCUCUGGAUGAAAGCGGGGGACUCGCAAGGGCCUCGCGCGAUUGGAGCGGCCGAUAUCAGAUUAGCUAGUUGGUGGGGUAAAAGCCCACCAAGGCGACGAUCUGUAGCUGGUCUGAGAGGACGACCAGCCACACUGGAACUGAGACACGGUCCAGACUCCUACGGGAGGCAGCAGUGGGGAAUUUUGGACAAUGGGCGCAAGCCUGAUCCAGCAAUGCCGCGUGCAGGAUGAAGGCCUUCGGGUUGUAAACUGCUUUUGUACGGAACGAAACGGCUCUUUCUA
RNAcentral lists this ribosomal RNA (454 nucleotides) under uncultured bacterium. Its description in RNAcentral is "bacterial SSU rRNA". It matches the Rfam family "Bacterial small subunit ribosomal RNA", at positions 8 to 462 of the family's 1533-position model. The record is from RNAcentral.